Molecule: unclassified non-coding RNA, 328 nt
Filed under: Hevea brasiliensis (rubber tree)
Lineage: Eukaryota; Viridiplantae; Streptophyta; Magnoliopsida; Malpighiales; Euphorbiaceae
Source: RNAcentral
GCAAUAGCUUCUCUGCAUUGCUUCAAAAUCUUUACGCAGGCCUCGUCGCUCCAGUUAUGCAGAACAGACUUGAUCAGAACUGCCUCGGCAGAAGGAAUCGACUGAAACAUGUCACCAGCGACAAAUUUCACGUUUUUGCUCUCUGGCAAGUUUGCAACAACUUGCGGGAGAUCCAAGACUGUGCAUUUCAUAUGAGGGUAUGCAUCAGAAAUUGUCCUGGCUAGAGUUCCUGUUCCACCCCCUACAUCAACCAGUGAAGCCACACCUUCAAACAUUUCCUUAUGGUUCUUAACAAUCAAGCUCACCAACUGAGAAUCACAGGCCAUGG